Anas platyrhynchos (mallard) is the source of this 2141-nucleotide non-coding RNA. NCBI's taxonomy places the organism in Eukaryota, Metazoa, Chordata, Aves, Anseriformes, Anatidae. The record is from RefSeq and is a predicted model, not a curated record.
UUUCUUUUCUUUUUUUUUUCCCCUCCUCCAGUCUUGAAGAUGGCUUAAAUCCUUUAAAGCGAUGAUGUUUGCCACAACUUUCAUCUCGCUCAAGUACUUCACUGGGUUGGGCAAACUACGUGGGCUCGUGUAUGAGGACAUGAGCAGUCUGUCUCUCUUUUGUUCUCACUUAUUUGGAGAGUCCUAAUGAGCCUUGAUUGGGCUUUAGGCUAACAGCUCUCCAAGUGAUUCAGACUUGUGGGGAACAAUUAUUUGUGAGUGCAUUAUUGCUUUAUCUUCAUUACUGCCAAAAUCUGAAGGGUACUAUUACUGUAAGCUGACUGUAAUAAGUUGCUUCUGAUUUUCUUUUAAUUAGUGAAACGUUACCUCCUGAAACGUCAGCUAAUGCCAAUUAAGAAAGCAUUGUGAGAUGUGGCUGAUGCAGUAGCACUGGAACUCCUCUCUGCCUGAAGAAAGCGAGAAAAAGAAAUAGCACAGGAUGCUUGUUCCUGAUGGGUUUGCCUUCCUUGCACUCUCUGUCAUUUAGAGCGCAGGGCUCGAGUGUGAGUGUGAGCAGGCGAUGGGGAGCAGCAGCGUGCCUUCCUCCGUGCUGAUGACAACCUUGGUUGAAGCUAUGUACCAUCACGGGGGCUGCUGGGGCUGAGACAGAAACACAAGCGUUAGUUGUCGUCGAGCGCGCUUGGCAUGGCCUGUGUGUUUUUUUUCUUACUGUUGGACAUGACAUUUGCUGUUGCCGACCUCUUGGGUCAGUAAGCAGGAGGUGAGAAGGCUUCUGGAGCUAAAUGCAGUCACGUCAGCAGCUUAAAGCAAGCCGUGUGCCCCUCGCAGGGUGGUCUCCUGGGCGCUCAGGGAACAGCAGGCCUUCCGACACGUGGCGGGGCUUAUGUAAGAGUCAGUGCAAAUAGGUAAAGCCGGCAUAAAUAAACAAACUGGCGUGCCGUUGUCAUUAUUUUUGCAGGCUAUUUGAAAGGCAAAUUAUGUUUCUAUAGUAAUUCCCUCUAUGCAGUGCAGCUCUCGUUCCUGGCUGUCAGUAACCGGUUCAUUAAGAGCUAAUAUUAAAUUUGGUAGCGGAUACGAGGAAUGGGCCCCUGAGCCACUGAUUAAAAAGCAAGGUAGGGAAGGCCAAAGCAUUUAAUUGGAAGCAUGAGAGCUGCUAAUCCUUUUGUUUUCCUCCAGCCAACAAAUUGUUGUUGCAACGGAAGGGGGAGAAGGGCUGUGCUUUUAGAGAACAGAAAAUGCUUGUGAAGAAAUCCUUCAGCUCACUCUUACAGCCCCAGUGGCUGCAGGAAAAUUCAGGGAGAAAGGACAGCUCGGACAAAACCCAAGUGCUUGGGCUGUCGUGGCACAGAAAUACGAUGGGAUGGAAAUAAGCAAAUGACAGAUAAUGCACACUGGUGGCCAUGUGCUCAACGCCACGCAAUUUUGGGUAGUGACAUUAAUGUUUGAGAAGCAUUUAGCAGCAUCUCAGGGAAGGCUCUCGUGGGCAGUAGAAAUGGCUGGCUGUGCUCUGCCUCCUGGUUCAGCAGCUCUCUGACAGCACUGUGUUUCUGUCACUGGUGUUUUUGGUGCACCUUUUAUUCAGAAGGGCCAUGAAAUACUUUCCCAGAGCUGAUGCUUGUGCAGGAGGGGAGCGCAGCCGCUUUGCUUACCCAGCCCGAGCCACCCAGCAGCUUUCUGGCAGCACCUUGGUAAAUGCCCGGUGUGGAAAAACACUCCUGCAGGGCUGGGGAUUGCCCCAGCCCCUUUGUGUUGGUGCACGGUCCUUCCCUGACUGCCUGCGUGUUGCCUGUGUCUCUUACCAGGUGGGCAUGGAUGGGACAGGGACGAGCUUCUGACUUUUGUGCCUGCUGGCAGAAUGGUGCCAGCCAGAGCCAGGCCUUUAAGCAUUAACUCCUGCAGGUGUGAAGUACUCACGGGGAGUAGCGUAAGGGGAGGAACAUGAGCAGAUGUCUGGGUAAACGAAGGGAACCUGCUCUCAAGGGACCAAGCAGGAAACAAAGGGAGCACUGACAGGGCACCCCAAAACAUGGGCUGUGGUGUUCAGGCAUGGUAUGUUGGGUAAAAACUGAGCCGUGAGCAUGGUAGGGGGAUCCAGUGAAUAGUUAAGCUACAGACUCUUAUUUAAAAAAAAAAAAAAAAAA